UACGUAGGGUGCGAGCGUUGUCCGGAAUUAUUGGGCGUAAAGGGCUCGUAGGCGGUUUGUCGCGUCGGGAGUGAAAACCUUGGGCUUAACUCAGGGCUUGCUUUCGAUACGGGCAGACUAGAGGUAUGCAGGGGAGAACGGAAUUCCUGGUGUAGCGGUGAAAUGCGCAGAUAUCAGGAGGAACACCGGUGGCGAAGGCGGCUCUCUGGGCAUGAUCUGACGCUGAGGAGCGAAAGUGUGGGGAGCGAACAGG
RNAcentral lists this ribosomal RNA (253 nucleotides) under uncultured bacterium. Its description in RNAcentral is "partial 16S ribosomal RNA". It matches the Rfam family "Bacterial small subunit ribosomal RNA", at positions 524 to 776 of the family's 1533-position model. The record is from RNAcentral.